Plectropomus leopardus (leopard coralgrouper) is the source of this 584-nucleotide long non-coding RNA. RefSeq lists it as uncharacterized. NCBI's taxonomy places the organism in Eukaryota, Metazoa, Chordata, Actinopteri, Perciformes, Serranidae. The record is from RefSeq and is a predicted model, not a curated record.
CCAUGACUUGCUCUCUGUGAACAUUUCCGUGACCACCUGUUGGAUUGUGAUGUGCUGUUCAUAAGGACCUUAGGGGGAUUAUUCAAGGUCCUCAACAGUCACUCAACCACUCAUCUACAGUGCAGGCAAACCAGGGUGGAUGGAAGGACAUGUUGGUAGUCUUCAGUUGGCACAUGACGAUAAGGUCUCUCUCCCAAUCUCAGGCUCCAUAUUCGCACAUGCCUCAUUGGAUGUUCACCUUGAGCAGCUGUCGAGUUGCCUCCCGCAGCCUUUAGAUAGACAGAGACAGAGCUGUCUGGGCCAGGACUGCCUUCUGCUGCUUCAUCCAAUGUGUCAGUUUGGACUGCAGCCAGCCGGAGAAUGGACUUGGUGCAUGAGUGAGUGUUUAAGUGUGUGUGUGUAUGUGUGCUUGGAUUAGACGAUACAGCAAAAUUACCACUUCAGGUUCAAUAGUAUUACAGUUAUUAAGCACGUUUUUAUCACCCGCUUUAUCGGAUUAGUGUUCAAUGAUCCAGACAGAUUUUUCUAUUGUAUAUUUAUGUUUCUUGUCUAUGCACCAAAACACCAAUGCAAUGUAGUGACAA